Aedes aegypti (yellow fever mosquito) is the source of this 988-nucleotide long non-coding RNA. RefSeq lists it as uncharacterized. The record is from RefSeq and is a predicted model, not a curated record. The transcript has 3 exons. Lineage: Eukaryota; Metazoa; Arthropoda; Insecta; Diptera; Culicidae.
CAGGGAUUCUUUCAGAAAUUCCUCAAUGGAUAUUGUUACGUAAGAAAAGUUUUGUGAACCCCUGUACAUUGUCGGACUUUAUAUGUCGUGUAUGUCAUUCUUCGGUUUCUGUUUUGCACCCGUGCUGUCAAAAUAGAUCAAUGUAAAAGUAAUGAAAACAAAGAUGCAGCACGGGCGCAAAGGAACUAUUUUUUUGUUCCCAUUUGUAAACACCGAAGUUCUUUACAGCAUAGGCUAACCGAAUUGAUUUCGUGUUUCAUUGCCUUGCUAAAAGAUCGGUGCCCCUCGCUAGUGUUUUCAACACUGUAAAGAACUUCGAAAGUUCUUCAUUAUCUUGCCGAAGAUAACCUCAAUAAGGAGAUCGGAAUUCCUGGAGAAUGGUUUCCACGAUGCUAAAGGACAACGUAGACGCAUACAUCGGAGUGGUGCUUCCAUUGAAAGCUGGACGACGCGAAGAUAGCCGCUGUAGACCGUUUUACAAGCAAACAUAACUGCACCGUAGGGUCGUAAGCGGACUAUCGCUAAUGCAUGUCCUAAAGGUUUUCACAAUAAGUGCAAAAUUUCGGAAUAAUGUAGUUCGUUCAAUUUAGUUUAUGUUUAACCUACAGUUCUCACGUGAAUUCGUCUUAUCGUCUCGACAAAGGAGGUAAAACUUCGGCAUAAAUCUGACCCGAAGUGUUACGGGGGGGAGUGUUACGUAAGAAAAGUUUUGUGAACCCCUGUACAUUGUCGGACUUUAUAUGUCGUGUAUGCCAUUCUUCGGUUUCUGUUUUGCACCCGUGCUGUCAAAAUAGAUCAAUGUAAAAGUAAUGAAAACAAAGAUGCAGCACGGGCGCAAAGGAACUAUUUUUUUGUUCCCAUUUGUAAACACCGAAGUUCUUUACAGCAUAGGCUAACCGAAUUGAUUUCGUGUUUCAUUGCCUUGCUAAAAGAUCGGUGCCCCUCGCUAGUGUUUUCAACAGAUAUCUCAAAGAAUUCCUCCAGCAUU